Molecule: ribosomal RNA, 875 nt
Filed under: Streptomyces sp.
Lineage: Bacteria; Bacillati; Actinomycetota; Actinomycetes; Kitasatosporales; Streptomycetaceae
Description: bacterial SSU rRNA
Source: RNAcentral
GAGRAACGGGGUCUAAUACCGGAUAUGACCAUCUUGGGCAUCCUUGAUGGUGUAAAGCUCCGGCGGUGAAGGAUGAGCCCGCGGCCUAUCAGCUUGUUGGUGAGGUAAUGGCUCACCAAGGCGACGACGGGUAGCCGGCCUGAGAGGGCGACCGGCCACACUGGGACUGAGACACGGCCCAGACUCCUACGGGAGGCAGCAGUGGGGAAUAUUGCACAAUGGGCGAAAGCCUGAUGCAGCGACGCCGCGUGAGGGAUGACGGCCUUCGGGUUGUAAACCUCUUUCAGCAGGGAAGAAGCGAAAGUGACGGUACCUGCAGAAGAAGCGCCGGCUAACUACGUGCCAGCAGCCGCGGUAAUACGUAGGGCGCAAGCGUUGUCCGGAAUUAUUGGGCGUAAAGAGCUCGUAGGCGGCUUGUCACGUCGAUUGUGAAAGCCCGAGGCUUAACCUCGGGUCUGCAGUCGAUACGGGCUAGCUAGAGUGUGGUAGGGGAGAUCGGAAUUCCUGGUGUAGCGGUGAAAUGCGCAGAUAUCAGGAGGAACACCGGUGGCGAAGGCGGAUCUCUGGGCCAUUACUGACGCUGAGGAGCGAAAGCGUGGGGAGCGAACAGGAUUAGAUACCCUGGUAGUCCACGCCGUAAACGGUGGGAACUAGGUGUUGGCGACAUUCCACGUCGUCGGUGCCGCAGCUAACGCAUUAAGUUCCCCGCCUGGGGGAGUACGGCCGCAAGGCUAAAACUCAAAGGAAUUGACGGGGGGCCCGCACAAGCGGCGGAGCAUGUGGCUUAAUUCGACGCACGSGAAGAAACCUUACCAAGGCUUGACAUACACCSGGAAACGUCUGGAGACAGGGCGCCCCCUUUGGUGGUCGGUGUA